RNAcentral lists this ribosomal RNA (250 nucleotides) under uncultured bacterium. RNAcentral's name for it is "partial 16S ribosomal RNA". It matches the Rfam family "Bacterial small subunit ribosomal RNA", at positions 525 to 774 of the family's 1533-position model. The record is from RNAcentral.
ACGUAGGGUGCGAGCGUUAAUCGGAAUUACUGGGCGUAAAGGGAGCGCAGGCGGCUUGGCCAGUCUGGAGUGAAAGCCCGGGGCUCAACCCCGGAAGUGCUUUGGAUACUACCAAGCUUGAGUACGUGAUAGGAGAGCGGAAUUCCAGGUGUAGCGGUGAAAUGCGUAGAUAUCUGGAGGAACACCGGUGGCGAAAGCGGCUCUCUGGCGCGAUACUGACGCUGAGGCUCGAAAGCGUGGGGAGCGAACG